UCCGGUUGAUCCUGCCGGACCUGACUGCUAUCGGAUUGAUACUAAGCCAUGCGAGUCUUUGUAGUAAUACAAGGCAUACGGCUCAGUAACGCGUAGUCAACCUACCCUAUGGACAAGAAUAAUCUCGGGAAACUGAGCAUAAUUCUUGAUAGAUCAUAAUGCCUGGAAUGGUUUAUGGUUAAAAUGAUUCGUCGCCAUAGGAUGGGACUGCGGCCUAUCAGCUUGUUGGUGAGGUAAUGGCCCACCAAGGCGAUUACAGGUACGGGCUCUGAGAGGAGAAGCCCGGAGAUGGGUACUGAGACAAGGACCCAGGCCCUAUGGGGCGCAGCAGGCGAGAAAACUUUGCAAUGUGCGAAAGCACGACAAGGUUAGUCCGAGUGAUUUCUGCUAAAGAGAUCUUUUACUAGUUAUAAAACCACUAGUGAAUAAGGGGUGGGCAAGUUCUGGUGUCAGCCGCCGCGGUAAAACCAGCACCUCAAGUGGUCAGGAUGAUUAUUGGGCCUAAAGCAUCCGUAGCCGGCUCUGUAAGUUUUCGGUUAAAUCUAUGCGCUCAACGUAUGGGCUGCCGAAAAUACUGUAGAGAUAGGGAGUGGGAGAGGUAGACGGUACUCGGUAGGAAGGGGUAAAAUCCUUUGAUCUAUCGAUGACCACCUGUGGCGAAGGCGGUCUACCAGAACACGUUCGACGGUGAGGGAUGAAAGCUGGGGGAGCAAACCGGAUUAGAUACCCGGGUAGUCCCAGCUGUAAACGAUGCAGACUCGAUGAUGCAUUGGCAUAUAGCCAGUGCAGUGUCGCAGGGAAGCCGUUAAGUCUGCCGCCUGGGAAGUACGUACGCAAGUAUGAAACUUAAAGGAAUUGGCGGGGGAGCACCACAAGGGGUGAAGCCUGCGGUUCAAUUGGAGUCAACGCCGGG
RNAcentral lists this ribosomal RNA (913 nucleotides) under uncultured archaeon. Its description in RNAcentral is "bacterial SSU rRNA". It matches the Rfam family "Archaeal small subunit ribosomal RNA", at positions 1 to 922 of the family's 1478-position model. The record is from RNAcentral.